GUAGUCUCGCACAGAUGCAUAUCAAUAAGCGGAGGAAAAGAAACUAACAAGGAUUCCCUUAGUAACGGCGAGUGAAGCGGGAAGAGCUCAAAUUUGAAAUCUUCAAGGUUUUACCUUGACGAAUUGUAGUUUAAAGAAGUGUUUUCUGUUGAAGUUUUGGUAAAAGUUCUUUGGAAUAGGACAUCAUAGAGGGUGAGAAUCCCGUACUUUGACCAUUAUUUUCAGCUGUGUGAUACACUUUCAAAGAGUCGGAUUGUUUGGGAAUGCAGUCCAAAAUGGGUGGUAAAUUUCAUCUAAAGCUAAAUAUUGGCGAGAGACCGAUAGCGAACAAGUACCGUGAGGGAAAGACUGAAAAGAACUUUGAAAAGAGAGUUAAACAGUACGUGAAAUUGUCAAAAGGGAAGCGUUUGACACCAGUGUUGUUUUCUCGAAAAUCAAUUAAAAAGAGUUAGAUUUUGUUGUGUAUUGACCUUAACAGCUUGCAUUUCAAUUUUCUUGCUUUUUUUAAUGCACUUUUCGUUUAACAAGUCAACAUCAGUUUCUUUUGUUGUAAAAAGGUCAUUGGAAGGUGGCUUUCUUUUCGGAGAAAGUGUUUAUAGCCUUUGACUCCUGCAAUCGGAGAGACUGAGGUCUGCAGCGUAGAUCCUUCGGGGUUAGAUACAUUUGUGCUAAGUUAUAGCUUUUUAUAGACAACUUGUUGACUAUGAUUAGUCUUGUAGCUUACUCGCUUAUGCUAUUUUACCUACGCUUAGGAUGUUGAGCGCAUGUCUCUCUCU
RNAcentral lists this ribosomal RNA (776 nucleotides) under uncultured Neocallimastigales. RNAcentral describes it as "partial large subunit ribosomal RNA". It matches the Rfam family "Eukaryotic large subunit ribosomal RNA", at positions 24 to 616 of the family's 3401-position model. The record is from RNAcentral. Lineage: Eukaryota; Fungi; Neocallimastigomycota; Neocallimastigomycetes; Neocallimastigales.